This 253-nucleotide ribosomal RNA is filed under the name uncultured bacterium. RNAcentral's name for it is "partial 16S ribosomal RNA". It matches the Rfam family "Bacterial small subunit ribosomal RNA", at positions 524 to 776 of the family's 1533-position model. The record is from RNAcentral.
UACAGAGGUCUCGAGCGUUAGGCGGAAUCACUGGGCUUAAAGCGUGUGUAGGCGGAUCGUUAAGUGCCUUGUGAAAUCCCACGGCUCAACCGUGGAACUGCUUGGCAUACUGGCGGUCUUGAGCAACCUAGGGGCGAGCGGAACAAAUGGUGGAGCGGUGAAAUGCGUAGAUAUCAUUUGGAACGCCAAUGGUGAAAACAGGUAACUGGGAGUGUGCUGACGCUGAGACACGAAAGCUAGGGGAGCAAACGGG